Molecule: long non-coding RNA, 3432 nt
Organism: Homo sapiens (human)
Lineage: Eukaryota; Metazoa; Chordata; Mammalia; Primates; Hominidae
Gene: CEROX1
Product: cytoplasmic endogenous regulator of oxidative phosphorylation 1
Source: Ensembl
GCCCCCGCCUGCCCCGCCCGGCGCCGCACCACGUGGGCCAGGCGCCCCACGCCUGGAGCUCCCCUCUCUGGAGCCCCGGGAAAGGAAGCGGGGCAGGGAGGCCGGGUGGGAGCAGGGGGGUCUCCGGCGCUUCCUCUCCUCUGCGGGCGCCGCGCGGCUCCUGAGAGUCCGCCCCCCGUCCUGACGCUCAGCUAGGAAGCGGGUCCUCGGGCCCCUCCCCCGACACACACACACACACACACACACACACACACACACACACACACUCUCUCUCUCUCUCUCUCUCUCUCUCUCUCUCUCUCUCUCUCUCACACACACACACACACACACAGCCCGUCUCGCGCCUGAGGUCUCGCCCGCAGGCCGGUGGCGCGGGGUCAGCUGCUGCCUGCGGUCCAGGACAGGGUCGGUUCCGCCGCGCAGCGCCCAGGCCCAGCUCGUCCAGAGUCUGCGGACAGCGCACGUCCAGGUAACGCGCUUCAAGGGGCCGCGGCUCGGAGCUGGGGGACCCCGGGCCGCCCUGCCCAUACGAGUGCGAGCGUGGAGAGCGCGGGCGGGGGCGCGGUCCCGGGGGCCGGCCAGCUGGAGGGGGCGGGAGCGCUGGGCGGGGCCUGCGCUGACCCCGGCGCUGAGUCCCUGGGGCCGCCGGGCGGAUGGCGUGGCCGGACGCGGGGGCCCCGGGCCUUCCGGGCGUGACCUAGGGCUCGGGGGCGGGGAGGCCCCUCCGGCGGGGCGGCCCUGGGUGGUCCGGCAGAGGCGGAGGCCGCUCCGAGCCUGUGAGCCCUGGGCGCCUGCGGAGGCGGGGAGAGGGCGGGGUGUGCCGCCCUGGUGGGGACCGCGGGGUCGGAGAGGGGACAUUGCCCCCCCCGAGGCGAACGUCCAACCGCGGGUCCGGGUCCCCGCCCAAGGCCGCCCCGCGAGGUGGCCUCGGCCCGGCCGUCCCCGAGGGUGGCUCGGAUCCUUUCAACCAGCGCGCUGGAGGCGAAGGGGCUGCGCCAUUCCGGGUCAGGCAGCCAACGCGGGACACGCGCGUCUCCGAGCUUGCGGCCCGCGAAACCCGGGUGACCUACCGCGCCGGUGCCCUCAAAGCCCCCACGCCCGGGCCGGUGGCCGCUGCAGCCACUGAGCCACGCGGUCUCCCCGGCCCGGUCGGCAGAAGGAGCUGGUCCGUUACUAGAAAAGUCCAGAUGCAAAGUCGGGGGUCGUGCUGCCGCUUCCUGCCAGCGCACCGCACCCACCUGGGGCCGCCACCGACCGCACAGGACGCGCCUCCUACCCCCUGUUCUGGCCCGGCCGAGAGCUGGUGCCCCCAGCGGCCGCCCGCCCCCGUCCGCAGACCCCGGGGCCCUUGCUGCUUUGCAUUGGGAACAACCGGAGCCAGGCCCGGAGCUGAGGGGGCCAGGGCCUUUGGAGGAAGCAUUGGCCUCCAGGCUGAAGAGCAAGGGCCGUGUCACCUGCCCGGAGGGCGGUCUCAUCUCUGCAGCCAGGUCAGAGGAAGCAGCGGUGGGGAGACGGAGUGCGCGAGUUGGGAGGCUCCACGCAUCGUAGGUGGAGAGCUGGCUGCCAGCCUGGCCUGCCCUCUCUUCCCCGUCCCACCAUCUCGCUUGGCUCCGGCACCUGCCUGGGAAGACCCACACCUCCGUCUGCAGUGCCUCUUCCCCCUGGAGGCCCUGCCCUCCGCUCGGGGUCCCCGCAUCCUUCCGUGGCCCUCAGAGCAUCGCCUGGGGCGCCCGCGGAACUCAUCUGUUAGGCCUGGGAUGCAGGCAGGCAGAAGUGGGGGUUUAAGUGGAAGCAGUGAGGGUGGGGGUCCGGUCCAAACUGUGCCACCUUCCACCCCCUGCCCCUGGGAGAGCAGACAUCGCCCACUCGGGCUCACAGUGCCAUCCGGGUGAGGACCUCCGUGGAGAGCUCUCUUUGCCAAAGAAAAGCAGUUGCAUUAGGUCUGCGAGCAGGCAGGGUGGCCUCUUCCUGGCUCCCCAUCCACCAAGGAAGCUUCAAGUCCCUGGGACACAGGCACUUUCCCACACAGGAUGGAGCCGGGCCACCCUCACAGCUCCUGCCCUGCAGACGCUGGCCUUGUGGAGGGAGGCAGGCAGCAGGAGCAGUGCUUUCUGGGCCUCUGUAGCCAGAGCUGGCCCUGCUGCAGCUUACGUCUGCCUGCAGCCCAGACGUCCUCCUGGUCCUCCUGAUGCCCCCGACCUCCACGGAGGACGAGCAUUUCCAGCCCAGCCCUCCCCAUCUUCACCUCGCACUCCCCUGACACACUGGGAGCCUCCUGAUCCGUGAACCCGCGCUGGCGGGAGUAGCUACUGACCGCUGGGGACCCCUGCCCAGGCUGUUCGCAUGUGGAAAGGAUUCAGGGAGCAGGCGAUGCCCAAAGCGUGGAGACCAGCACUGCUCUCUCCCCAGUGACAGGUGCACGCCCAGAUCACGGAUGUGUCGGGAACAGCUGUGCUCCUGCUGCUCAGCGUCCGUCACUCCAGGCUGGGAGCGGGUCCCCAAGCUUCUGGCUGGGCCUAUCCGUCUCCACUCUCAGUGUGGGGGUGGGGGGCGCCAACAGCACGCAUUUGCUCUCUGCACUUCUCGUCUGAUAAUGGGCAGAGGGUCCUUCUGCAGCCCCAAAACAUCCCUAGGCAGGAGCCCUGGGGCCCCAAGCAGCCAGGGAGGUGAGCACCAAGGACCUCCCAGAGAGCGUCACCUUCCGUCGAGGGAGGCCCAGCCUGGGGGCGGUGUCUGAGACUUGGAAUCAACGCUUCCGUUGGUGGCAGUAAAUCCUGUCCCUAACCCUGCAGUACAGCUGUGCCGUGUACAGGAGGGUGCUGUCUGACGCCAGACACCUGGACUACAGAUCGCAGCCUGAUUCCUGGUCAUUGCUCCACUGAACCCCAGACCCCAGCCUCGUUCUGGGCCCUCAUCCCCUAGAUCCAGGGACCCCAGCCCCAUUUCAGCCCUUGGGCCCUUGUAGGAUGCGAGGCCCUGGGCCCCAGCCCCCAGCCCAUCCGUGGCCCAGGCACUGGGGGGCUGAGGUCCUCUGAGAAGGGACACAGGGCCUGGGGGGCUCUCUCAGCCCAUCAGCAGGAGAGGACUGACUCCAGAAAAAUCAGCGUUUGUACCCACUCAGGCUGCCAAGACCUGUGUCCGUCCUUCCAAGCUCAACCUUCAGAGUUCAUGAGGCCCCUUGCCCAGAAUGUCCACAGAGUUCAUGAGGCCCCUUGCCCGGAAUGUCCACAUUUGAAACCUCCCAACACCGAGCCCCAUUUCAAGUAUAACCAGGAGGGAAAAUGGUGCUUGAAAUAAGCAUGCCACAAAGGAAAACCUGCUUUCUCGAAAUGGGCCCUGGCCGCCCAGGCCCUGACCUCCCCGGCCAGGAUGGAACGUUCCAGAGACCCAUUAGUGCCAAAGGCAAAUGAAAACACACCCUGUGAAAAUGUC